This 695-nucleotide ribosomal RNA is filed under the name uncultured archaeon. RNAcentral describes it as "bacterial SSU rRNA". It matches the Rfam family "Archaeal small subunit ribosomal RNA", at positions 83 to 785 of the family's 1478-position model. The record is from RNAcentral.
CGGCUCAGUAACACGUAGUUAAUCUGCCAUAAGGUGGAGGAUAACCUUGGAAACCUGAGGGUAAUACUCCAUAGGGAAUAAAUUCUGGAAUGAGUUAUUCUUCAAACGUAAGGCCUUAUGAUGAGACUGCGGUGGAUUAGGUAGUUGGCAGGGUAACGGCCUACCAAGCCUAAGAUCCAUACGGGCCUUGGAAGAGGGAACCCGGAGAGGGACACUGAGAUACUGGUCCCAGCCCCACGGGGUGCAGCAGGCGCGAAAACUUUACAAUGCACGAAAGUGUGAUAGGGGAACUCAAAGUGCUCAUACACUGUAUGGGCCUUUGCCAACUCAAAAUUUGUUGGCGAAUAAGUGGUGGGCAAGACUGGUGCCAGCCGCCGCGGUAACACCAGCGCCACGAGUGGGAGUCGCUAUUAUUGGGCCUAAAGCGUCCGUAGCAGGUCUAAACAAUUGCCUGUGAAAUCGUGUUUGUCAACCACACGGAUUGCAGGUAACACUGUUAGACUUGAGACCGGGAGAUGUUGGAGGUAUUCAGGGGGGAGCGGUAAAAUGCGAGAAUCCUCUGAGGACCACCUGUUGCGAAGGCGUCCAACAAUAACGGGUCUGACUGUGAGGGACGAAAGCUAGGGGAGCGAACCGGAUUAGAUACCCGAGUAGUCCUAGCCGUAAACGCUGCGAGUUAGGUGUUGCAUAAUCUU